AUGGCAUCAAGAUGCAGCUGCUCAUAUGAUUUCAUAGUUUGGCAAGUACCACAGAAUUUGUGGUUGACUGCUUACAUACAAAAUCAUCGUGAAUUGGCGAUGAUCAAUUUACAGUCAGUUAUCAAUUUGUGCGGUUCAUUAAAUAAUCAAGAUAACACAUGGAGGUCCAUUCUUCUUUGGGCCGGCAGCCUUCUCGCCAACGAAGGCAUUUCUACCCGGUCCUUUUCUUUUAGCCUGCUGCAGGGACCAAACACUAUACCUUCUUCUUCGGUCUUCAAUCUGUUUUCUUCUUCAAUGAAUCUGACCACGACAUCUUGCACGUACUGCACCGCUCCCAGAGGUGAACGGAGUCAUAAAAAUCAACUUAGCAUCAGACUACUGGGUGAACAGAGUUGUAGAAACCAGAACAGAGUCACACACUCUCAAUGGUGGCAAGUUAUUAUAUUAAAUCUUGCUAGACAGUUGCUCACAUGGGUACUAUGUAUGCAUGAUUUUUUAACUUGA
RNAcentral lists this ribosomal RNA (504 nucleotides) under Triticum aestivum (bread wheat). Its description in RNAcentral is "partial small subunit ribosomal RNA". The record is from RNAcentral. Lineage: Eukaryota; Viridiplantae; Streptophyta; Magnoliopsida; Poales; Poaceae.